UUACAUAGAAUAAUUUAUAUUUUAUUUAAGAAAAAAUACACGGAUAUACCUUUACUAACACUAUUAUUCUUUUGAAGAUUCAGGAUAGAUUUGCUAGCUUACAAGUAUACUGCACAGCAAAAAGUAGGUUCACAUUUUGCACUUACAUUAUUCUAUAAAGGUAAAGCAAAAUGAGUGUCACAUUAUUAGUUAGGCUUUUCAGUUUUUUCUCUAGAAAAUUACUAUCUUUAAUGUUUGCUUUUAAAUUAUCCAACACUUCUUUCUUAUAAGCAUCAAAUACUCCUAUAUAUAGCGUUAUGACUAGGUAUAAGCGCGAGACGACUAAACUAAACAAAUCUGGACGAAUCUUUUUAUGCAAAUCUUUUUAUGCAAAUGAUGCCGUACGAAAGAUACGUAUUCAGACAUAAAGCUAUCCAAUGAGUUUAUAUCAUAAUACAAAAAAUUAUUUUAAUCCUAAGACGAAGGACUAUUUAACUAGUAUAGUCAUUGUCCUACGGCACAAUGAGGCCUUACAGGCAAAAUAUUUGAUCUCAGUAAUAUCUCGGAAAUUACAAGAUGUCCAUCUUUCCAUGAAAUCGUCACACUUUAUAAGUAUAUAUUGGAAAUAUUUUAUGACUAUUUCAGAAAUACUGUAUUUGCAUGUAUUCCGCGCGCACGUUUUUCCUCUACGUGGUCGCGAACGUCUCAAGUCACAGCACGCGCAGAGUAUCUUCGCGUUAAACGCAAGCACUGCACAGUUCCCACUUCAAUUUCUAUAUGUUUUGCUAGGACAGCGUAACCCCUGCGGCAGUAAAAUAUUUCUGAAGGCAGGCUAAGGCAUCUGGUGACAAGCUUGAUUUAAUCAUUGGUGUGACCUAGAAGAGACAUUAUUAAGCAUCAGUAAAAAUGACAACAAUUAAUAAGCUGCCGUGUUUUGGGUCUCAAACGCGGUGGUUCAAGCAGGGGUGGAAAAAGUAUCGGAACCUGGGAACCUAGUUCCCAGAAAUUUUUUUGAGUUGAGAGUUUUGCAGAAAAUUUUCCACAAAAUAUUUCAACAUUUUGAGAUAACUCUGUUU
Molecule: non-coding RNA, 1055 nt
Organism: Paramuricea clavata
Lineage: Eukaryota; Metazoa; Cnidaria; Anthozoa; Malacalcyonacea; Plexauridae
Source: the annotation of a GenBank genome assembly